Molecule: ribosomal RNA, 495 nt
Filed under: uncultured bacterium
Lineage: Bacteria
Description: partial 16S ribosomal RNA
Rfam family: Bacterial small subunit ribosomal RNA
Source: RNAcentral
GACGAACGCUGGCGGCGUGCCUAAUACAUGCAAGUAGAACGCUGAAGGAGGAGCUUGCUUCUCUGGAUGAGUUGCGAACGGGUGAGUAACGCGUAGGUAACCUGCCUGGUAGUGGGGGAUAACUAUUGGAAACGAUAGCUAAUACCGCAUAAUAGCAGUUGUUGCAUGAUAACUGUUUGAAAGGUGCAAUUGCACCGCUACCAGAUGGACCUGCGUUGUAUUAGCUAGUUGGUGGGGUAACGGCUCACCAAGGCGACGAUACAUAGCCGACCUGAGAGGGGGAUCGGCCACACUGGGACUGAGACACGGCCCAGACUCCUACGGGAGGCAGCAGUAGGGAAUCUUCGGCAAUGGACGGAAGUCUGACCGAGCAACGCCGCGUGAGUGAAGAAGGGUUUCGGAUCGUAAAGCUCUGUUGUAAGAGAAGAACGAGUGUGAGAGUGGAAAGUUCACACUGUGACGGUAUCUUACCAGAAAGGGACGGCUAACUACGUG